Molecule: long non-coding RNA, 1602 nt
Filed under: Equus asinus (donkey)
Lineage: Eukaryota; Metazoa; Chordata; Mammalia; Perissodactyla; Equidae
Description: lncRNA (ENSEASG00005025117.1)
Source: RNAcentral
GCAUCUGGAUGAUGGGGAUGGACCACUGACAAGUGUUUUCAUUGAUCUGAAAUUAGCAAGACCACAGGCCAGAGUUGUCUCAAAUCCUCGCGUAUAUAUGAAUCACCAGGGCAUCUUGUUAAGAUGCUGCAGGUUUAGGGAGGGGCAGAGAGUGUGCCUUUCUAACAAGCUUCCAGGUGAUAUUGAGAUCUUGAUGCAGCUGGUUCUCAGACCGUGCUUUGAGAAGCGAGGCUACGCUUACCUGGCAGUUUGCUUUUCGGAGAUUUAUCCCGAGGGAACAUGGAUAAUAAAAGCUGUAUUGGGUCAAGAAGUUUUCAUCUAAGAAGGAGGAUUGUGCAAUAGAAAGAGGACUAACGAGGAGCAGGAAAACCAGGGCUGAAUUCCAAGUUAUGCAACAAGCUAACUGGGUGCAUUUGGAUAAGCUAUAGCCUCUCUGAGCUACAAGGAGGAGGUUAAGCUGUGUUGAACAUGUAUCCAGAGCACAAACAGAAACACCCAUUUGGAAAUGUCUGGAUUUGAUGAUGUCCAAGGUCUCUUCUUAACGCGGAUAUCCUGUGAUCUCAGUGACAAGCAUAAAGAGGGAAAGAGUUGGAGACUCAGUGAGAGACAGGGGGCACCCUCAAAUCAGGAUAAUUUGAGGAAGAUCCAUGAAGAGGCUAUUUUCAAAGCAAAAUGCAGUGUGUUGGAGUAUUCCACGUUGCUCUAUGAAGAGGUGCUGACGGCAUCAUCUUUGCUUUUCUGCAUGUGUUCGGUGAUUAUGAAAACACAUGCAAGUAAUGCUGAGUCAGCCUCCUUUGCCUCUGCGCAGGGAACCUCAUGGGGACUAAUUCAAAACUCCAUGUCUACAAAGGACAGAUCAUUCUUGAGAGCCACUCACAAGGUCUCUUAGGUAUUCAAUUACAUUUUCUCAAGCCCUUUUCCGGUUUCUAGUCCUACUGUGAGCCUGAAAAUCUGAGAAAUUCAGGAGCACUCCCUCCCGGAUGAUAAUUAUAUUUCUAAAACAUUUUAGGUUCAUACCUAUCAGGCAGCAUAAAUUCCUUUAUUAAUUCAAGUCAGUUCAGUAAGCAUGCAUUGAGAGCCUGGUAACACAUUAAGCCUCAUGCUAGACAUUAGGAAUACAAAGUUGUAUGAGACAAAGUCUUCGAACUCAAAAGAUUAUCAGGGUAGUUUGAAUAUUCAUUGUUUUACAGAGGAGCAGCAGCAAUAUCAUGCCUCAUAGUCUCAGCCAUCGUACCAUGAUGAAGCAUUCAGUUGUGUCCUAUGUUCUUCAUUCUUUGAUUUGCCAGCCUCCCCCAAGAUCUACCUUGCCCAGUGACUUCCAGUUGAGUUUGGCCAAUGGAGAGCACAGCCAGAGAUCAGAGGUUGGGUGGAAUGUUGGGGGUCAGUAUAUUCAUUCUAAUGGCUCCCUACCUGUAGGGUCACUGUUGGUUGACAGUCUCCUUCAACUGUCAGGUCGUCCUCUCCACACAGCCCUCUGCCUCCCUUAGACCUUGGUGACCACUCCCUUCCUCUGCCCCUUUGGGCCUAGGGGUGAGUGGCACCCUUCUGUUACUAACCCUGAGCACUCUGCCAUUCAUUCCUUACGAAUGACUUGCUGCUGUU